CCUACGUGUGGCAGCAGUAGGGAAUCUUCCACAAUGGGCGAAAGCCUGAUGGAGCAACGCCGCGUGAGUGAAGCAGGUCUUCGGAUCGUAAAACCCUGUUGUUAGAGAAGAAAGUGCGUGAGAGUAACUGUUCACGUUUCGACGGUAUCUAACCAGAAAGCCACGGCUAACUACGGCCCAGCAGCCGCGGUAAUACGUAGGUGGCAAGCGUUCUCCGGAUUUAUUGGGCGUAAAGGGAACGCAGGCGGUCUUUUAAGUCUGAUGUGAAAGCCUUCGGCUUAACCGGAGUAGUGCAUUGGAAACUGGGAGACUUGAGUGCAGAAGAGGAGAGGGGAACUCCAUGUGUAGCGGUGAAAUGCGUAGAUAUAUGGAAGAACACCAGUGGCGAAAGCGGCUCUCUGGUCUGUAACUGACGCUGAGGUUCGAAAGCGUGGGUAGCAAACAGGAUUAGAUACCCGAGUAGUC
Molecule: ribosomal RNA, 465 nt
Filed under: uncultured bacterium
Lineage: Bacteria
Description: partial 16S ribosomal RNA
Rfam family: Bacterial small subunit ribosomal RNA
Source: RNAcentral